This 428-nucleotide ribosomal RNA is filed under the name uncultured bacterium. Its description in RNAcentral is "bacterial SSU rRNA". It matches the Rfam family "Bacterial small subunit ribosomal RNA", at positions 355 to 776 of the family's 1533-position model. The record is from RNAcentral.
UAGGGAAUUUUCCGCAAUGAGCGAAAGCUUGACGGAGCGACACAGCGUGCAGGAUGAAGGUCUUCGGAUUGUAAACUGCUGUUGUAAGGGAAGAAAAAAUUUAAUAGGAAAUGAUUAAAUCUUGACGGUACCUUAUUAGAAAGUGACGGCUAACUAUGUGCCAGCAGCCGCGGUAAUACAUAGGUCACAAGCGUUAUCCGGAAUUAUUGGGCGUAAAGAGUUUGUAGGCGGUUUAUCAAGUCUAGAGUUAAAGCCUGAGGCUCAACCUCAGUCCGCUCUGGAUACUGGUUAACUAGAGUUAUAUAGAGGUAAACGGAAUUCUUAGUGAAGCGGUGGAAUGCGUAGAUAUUAGGAAGAACACCAACGGCGAAGGCAGUUUACUGGAUAUACACUGACGCUCAAGAACGAAAGCGUGGGGAGCAAACAGG